RNAcentral lists this ribosomal RNA (1436 nucleotides) under metagenome. Its description in RNAcentral is "bacterial SSU rRNA". It matches the Rfam family "Archaeal small subunit ribosomal RNA". The record is from RNAcentral.
UCCCGUUGAUCCUGCGGGAGGUUGCUGCUAUAGGGAUGCGGCUUAACCAUGCAAGUCAAGGGGCUUCUUCGGAAGCACCGGCGAAAGGCUCAGUAACACGUCAAUAAUCUGCCCUAAGGUCAGGGAUAAUGUCGGGAAACUGACUCUAAUACCUGAUAGAGGAUUGAUGCUGGAAUGCACUUUCUUCUAAAGUUUCGGCGCCUUAGGAUGAGUUGGCGGCUGAUUAGGCUGUUGGUGAGGUAAAGGCUCACCAAACCAAAGAUCAGUAGGGGAGAUGAGAGUCUUAGCCUCGAGAAGGACACUGAGAUAAGGGUCCUAGCCCUAAGGGGUGCAGCAGGUGCGAAACCUCUACAAUGCACGAAAGUGUGAUAGGGGUAUCCCUAGUGCUCAGCUUUGCUGGGCUUUUGUUAUGUGUAAAUAACAUGACGAAUAAGUGGUGGGCAAGACUGGUGCCAGCCGCCGCGGUAACACCAGCGCCACAAGUGGCAACCACAAUUAUUGGGUCUAAAGCGUCUGUAGCCGAUUUGGCAGUUUCUUGUGAAAUUGUUUAGCUUAACUGAACAACGUGCAAGAAAUACUGUUAAGUUAGAGACCGGGAGGAGAGAGGAGUACUCUUUGGGAAGCGGUAAAAUGUUGUAAUCCUUAGGGGACUACCUGUGGCGAAGGCGCCUCUCUAGAACGGGUCUGACGGUGAGAGACGAAGGCUAGGAGAACGAUCGGGAUUAGAUACCCCAGUAGCCCUAGCAGUAAACGCUGUGAACUAAGUGUUGCAUGUUCUUCGUGAACAUGCAGUGCUAGAGCGAAGGCAUUAAGUUCACCACCUGGGAAGUACGGCCGCAAGACUGAAACUUAAAGGAAUUGGCGGGAAAGCACACCAGCGGUGGAAUGUGCGGUUUAAUUCAAUUUCACUCGGAAAAUCUCACCAGGAGCGACGGCAGAAUGAAGGUCAGAUUGAAGGUUUUACCUGACAAGCCGAGAGGUGCUGCAUGGCCGUCGUCAGCUCGUGCCGUAAGGUGUCCAGUUAAGUCUGGUAACGAGCAAGACCUGUAUCUACAAUUGCUAGCGUAUCAUUUUUGAUGAACGUGCACAAUGUAGAGACUGCCUUGGUAACAAGGAGGAAGGUGCAGGCAACGAUAGGUCUGUAUGGCCCGAAUCUCCUGGGCUACACGCGCGUCACAAUGGCAUGGACAAGGGGAUACCACUCCGAAAGGAGCAGUCAAACCUCGAAACCAUGUCUAAGUUCUGAUCGAGGGCUGUAACUCGCCCUCGUGAUGCCGGAAUCGCUAGUAAUCGUGUUUCAACAUGGCACGGUGAAUACGUCCCUGCUUUUUGCACACACUGCCCGUCAUCCCAAUCGAGUCGGGUCUGGGUGAGGAUUAAUCUUUGGGUUGAUUCGAACCUAGGCUUGGUGAGAAGGGGCAAGUCGUCACAAGGUA